Molecule: microRNA precursor, 52 nt
Filed under: Pteropus alecto (black flying fox)
Lineage: Eukaryota; Metazoa; Chordata; Mammalia; Chiroptera; Pteropodidae
Also listed under: 1 other name
Description: mir-1302 microRNA precursor family
Rfam family: mir-1302 microRNA precursor family
Source: Rfam by way of RNAcentral
UCUUUAGUAUAAGUAUAUGCCAUAAAAUAUUUGGGAUAUACUUAUACUAUAA